GACGGGACCGCACAGGCGGUGGAUGAUGUGGAUUAAUUCGAUGCAACGCGAAAAACCUUACCUACCCUUGACAUGCCACUAACGAAGUAGAGAUACAUUAGGUGCCCGUAAGGAAAGUGGACACAGGUGCUGCAUGGCUGUCGUCAGCUCGUGUCGUGAGAUGUUGGGUUAAGUCCCGCAACGAGCGCAACCCUUGUCUUUAGUUGCUACGCAAGAGCACUCUAAAGAGACUGCCGGUGACAAACCGGAGAAGGUGGGGAUGACGUCAAGUCCUCAUGGCCCUUAUGGGUAGGGCUUCACACGUCAUACAAUGGUGCAUACAGAGGGUUGCCAACCCGCGAGGGGGAGCUAAUCUCAGAAAAUGCAUCGUAGUCCGGAUCGUAGUCUGCAACUCGACUACGUGAAGCUGGAAUCGCUAGUAAUCGCGGAUCAGAAUGUCGCGGUGAAUACGUUCCCGGGUCUU
RNAcentral lists this ribosomal RNA (463 nucleotides) under uncultured Polynucleobacter sp. Its description in RNAcentral is "bacterial SSU rRNA". It matches the Rfam family "Bacterial small subunit ribosomal RNA", at positions 917 to 1381 of the family's 1533-position model. Lineage: Bacteria; Pseudomonadati; Pseudomonadota; Betaproteobacteria; Burkholderiales; Burkholderiaceae. The record is from RNAcentral.